This 883-nucleotide long non-coding RNA is filed under the name Brassica napus (rape). Its description in RNAcentral is "long non-coding RNA (BNAP_LNC000349)". Lineage: Eukaryota; Viridiplantae; Streptophyta; Magnoliopsida; Brassicales; Brassicaceae. The record is from RNAcentral.
AUGAGAUUGUGAUAAAGUUUAGUAUAUAUGAGUUAAAAGUGGGGUAAUGUUUAUUAUUAUGGUAUGUGGAUGAGGUUAAAACCCUAUAUUAUUUCAGCGAUAUGGGAUAGAUCACUUAGUGUAUAUGUAUACGGUUAACAAACGUAUGAUGUAGAUGAAUCGUUCUUCUUUUCUUUGAGAUAUUUUUAUGGGGUAAUGGUAAAUGGGAAGGGUAUAACCAGAUUAAUUAAGGUUUAUAUUUGAGUUUAUGGUUUAUAGUUGGGUUUAAGAUUUAUUGAUUAGGAUUAAGGGUUAAUAUUUAGGGGUUGGGAUGGGAUUGUGAUAAGGUUUAGUAUAUAUGGGUAAGAAUUAGGAUAAUGUUUAUUAUUAGGGUAUGUGGAUGAGAUUAUAAUUCUAUACUGUUUCAGCGAUAUUGAAUAUAACAUUCAGUGUAUUUGUAUAUGGUCAAUAAAUGUGUGACGUGGAUGACUAGUUUUUUUUUGAAAUAUUUUUUAUCGAGUAAUGACAAAAGAAAAAGUAUAACCGGAUUAAUUAAGAUGUAAUUGUUAGUUUUUUAUUAUAUCAAAAUCAUUGUUAUUUAUUUAAUUUAUAUCCAGUAAUUGGCUAUUCAGAAAAUAAAUCAUACAAAUAAUACAUACCUAAAUUGUACACAAAAUGCAACUUUUUGUUGAAGAUUGGGACUUGGGUACUAAAUUAAUCUUAAAUCAAAUAAAAUUUACAUAAUGGGGUAAUUAAUUAAGCUAUCAUCAACGAAACACCAUAUUUGUUGCAUUUGUGUUUAUAUAAUUAUAUGUAAUUUCUCCCUAAAAUAUUUAUCAUAUUAAACAAAUUAAAUAUUUGAUUUCAUGUUUAUAAAAUAUUUCUUGCAAGGUGCAAACGCAAA